This 362-nucleotide ribosomal RNA is filed under the name uncultured Cellulomonas sp. RNAcentral's name for it is "bacterial SSU rRNA". It matches the Rfam family "Bacterial small subunit ribosomal RNA", at positions 1023 to 1382 of the family's 1533-position model. The record is from RNAcentral. Lineage: Bacteria; Bacillati; Actinomycetota; Actinomycetes; Micrococcales; Cellulomonadaceae.
GUGGUCGGUGUACAGGUGGUGCAUGGUUGUCGUCAGCUCGUGUCGUGAGAUGUUGGGUUAAGUCCCGCAACGAGCGCAACCCUCGUCCUAUGUUGCCAGCGGGUCAUGCCGGGGACUCAUGGGAGACUGCCGGGGUCAACUCGGAGGAAGGUGGGGAUGACGUCAAAUCAUCAUGCCCCUUAUGUCUUGGGCUUCACGCAUGCUACAAUGGCCGGUACAAAGGGCUGCGAUACCGCGAGGUGGAGCGAAUCCCAGAAAGCCGGUCUCAGUUCGGAUUGGGGUCUGCAACUCGACCCCAUGAAGUCGGAGUCGCUAGUAAUCGCAGAUCAGCAACGCUGCGGUGAAUACGUUCCCGGGCCCUU